GACGAACGCUGGCGGCGUGCUUAACACAUGCAAGUCGAACGGAAAGGCCCUGCUUUUGUGGGGUGCUCGAGUGGCGAACGGGUGAGUAACACGUGAGUAACCUGCCCUUGACUUUGGGAUAACUUCAGGAAACUGGGGCUAAUACCGGAUAGGAGCUCCUGCUGCAUGGUGGGGGUUGGAAAGUUUCGGCGGUUGGGGAUGGACUCGGGGCUUAUCAGCUUGUUGGUGGGGUAGUGGCUUACCAAGGCUUUGACGGGUAGCCGGCCUGGGAGGGUGACCGGCCACAUGGGGACUGAGAUACGGCCCAGACUCCUACGGGAGGCAGCAGUGGGGAAUAUUGCACAAUGGGCGGAAGCCUGAUGCAGCAACGCCGCGUGCGGGAUGACGGCCUUCGGGUUGUAAACCGCUUUCGCCUGUGACGAAGCGUGAGUGACGGUAAUGGGUAAAGAAGCACCGGCUAACUACGUG
RNAcentral lists this ribosomal RNA (468 nucleotides) under uncultured bacterium. Its description in RNAcentral is "partial 16S ribosomal RNA". It matches the Rfam family "Bacterial small subunit ribosomal RNA", at positions 28 to 507 of the family's 1533-position model. The record is from RNAcentral.